This 464-nucleotide ribosomal RNA is filed under the name Salmonella enterica. RNAcentral describes it as "partial 23S ribosomal RNA". It matches the Rfam family "Bacterial large subunit ribosomal RNA", at positions 440 to 805 of the family's 2925-position model. Lineage: Bacteria; Pseudomonadati; Pseudomonadota; Gammaproteobacteria; Enterobacterales; Enterobacteriaceae. The record is from RNAcentral.
GAAUAUGGGGGGACCAUCCUCCAAGGCUAAAUACUCCUGACUGACCGAUAGUGAACCAGUACCGUGAGGGAAAGGCGAAAAGAACCCCGGCGAGGGGAGUGAAAAAGAACCUGAAACCGUGUACGUACAAGCAGUGGGAGCCCCACCACUAAGCCAGUGGUGAACUCCACAUCCGCAUCCUUUGCUGAGGAUACGGUUAACGGAGCGAAAGCGACGUUCAACCGCAAAACAAGCAGAGGGGGCUUAGUGGUGGGGUGACUGCGUACCUUUUGUAUAAUGGGUCAGCGACUUAUAUUCUGUAGCAAGGUUAACCGUAUAGGGGAGCCGGAGGGAAACCGAGUCUUAACCGGGCGUUAAGUUGCAGGGUAUAGACCCGAAACCCGGUGAUCUAGCCAUGGGCAGGUUGAAGGUUGGGUAACACUAACUGGAGGACCGAACCGACUAAUGUUGAAAAAUUAGCGGAU